CCUACGGGAGGCAGCAGUGGGGGAUAUUGCACAAUGGGGGAAACCCUGAUGCAGCGACGCCGCGUGGGCGAAGAAGUAUUUCGGUAUGUAAAGCCCUAUCAGCAGGGAAGAAGAAAUGACGGUACCUGAGUAAGAAGCACCGGCUAAAUACGUGCCAGCCGCCGCGGUAAUACGUAGGGUGCACGCGUUAUCCGGAUUUACUGGGUGGAAAGGGAGCGCAGGGGGCAGGGCAAGCCUGAUGUGAAAGCCCGCGGCCCAACCGCGGGACUGCAUUGGGAACUACCGGGCUGGAGUGCCGGAGAGGUAGGCGGAAUUCCUAGUGGAGCGGUGAAAUGCGUAGAUAUUAGGAGGAACACCAGUGGCGAAGGCGGCCUACUGGACGGUGACUGACGCUGAGGCUCGAAAGCGUGGGGAGCAAACAGGAUUAGAUACCCCGGUAGUC
Molecule: ribosomal RNA, 442 nt
Filed under: uncultured bacterium
Lineage: Bacteria
Description: partial 16S ribosomal RNA
Rfam family: Bacterial small subunit ribosomal RNA
Source: RNAcentral